AUGGCUGGAUGGAGAUACUAUUAUCAAGGAGACCAAUUAAUUAAAGUUGAGGAUCUAUGUAUUGCAUGUACGUGGUUUAGAUGGCAGAUGCAAGAAAUCAUAUUUCUGUUCCUAUUUUUGCCACGCAAGGAACAUGCGAGAGGACAUGUACGUGAUGUAGAUCAGCUCUCUCUCAAGGACAUUGGAUGGGGCCCACCUACAGCAAAAGUAAAGACGGUGCAUCAAUUAGAGAGAGUCCAAGUCGGUUUAGGUAAUAUAGAUAUUCGUACUGUGUUUUUGUUUAAGAAAGAGAUAGCACGCGUUAGGAAAGAGGAGUCCAUCAAAUUUGUUUUCCAAGUUGGUCUAGCAAGUCCGGCUACUACAAAUAGCCAUGAUACGUUAAUUGUAAAAUAG
RNAcentral lists this ribosomal RNA (393 nucleotides) under Triticum aestivum (bread wheat). RNAcentral's name for it is "partial small subunit ribosomal RNA". The record is from RNAcentral. Lineage: Eukaryota; Viridiplantae; Streptophyta; Magnoliopsida; Poales; Poaceae.